This 287-nucleotide ribosomal RNA is filed under the name uncultured bacterium. RNAcentral describes it as "partial 16S ribosomal RNA". It matches the Rfam family "Bacterial small subunit ribosomal RNA", at positions 28 to 334 of the family's 1533-position model. The record is from RNAcentral.
GAUGAACGCUGGCGGCGUGCCUAAUACAUGCAAGUCGAGUGGAAAGGCCCCUUCGGGGGUACUCGAGCGGCGGACGGCUGAGUAACACGUAGGAACGUACCCCAAAGUGAGGGAUAAGCACCAGAAAUGGUGUCUAAUACCGCAUGUGCUCUAAGGAGUAAAGCUUCGGCGCUUUGGGAACGGCCUGCGCAUGAUUAGCUUGUUGGUGAGGUAAUAGCUCACCAAGGCGACGAUCAUUAGCUGGUCUGAGAGGAUGACCAGCCAGACUGGAACUGAGAACGGUCCAG